UCGUAAAUGUGUACAUCUGUAACAAGAUAAAUUAGGACAUGCACCAAACCCUGUAUCUCAAAUGAAAGUCUCUAUAGCUAAGGCUGAGUACUUUCCGAAAGGAUGUACUGCGUUGCACGUUGCAGCAAAAGUUACCUCUUAUUAUAACAUGGCUUUUAAUGGCAGUAAUACGCAACUUAAAAUAAAACAUUGCAGAACACAUCUCAUUUGGCAGCAACGUUCGUCGUAAGUACAAUAAUGUAAAUCUGUAGUUAUCUAG
Molecule: non-coding RNA, 259 nt
Organism: Paramuricea clavata
Lineage: Eukaryota; Metazoa; Cnidaria; Anthozoa; Malacalcyonacea; Plexauridae
Source: the annotation of a GenBank genome assembly